UCGUGGAGUGGUUUGUCUGGUUAAUUCCGUUAACGAACGAGAUCUGAACCUGCUAAGUAGCUCAAUGUGGCCAUUGGUCAUGUUGAGUACUUCUUAGAGGCUUGUUGCGUGCCUAAUGCAAGGAAGUUGGAGGCAAUAACA
RNAcentral lists this ribosomal RNA (141 nucleotides) under uncultured eukaryote. RNAcentral's name for it is "partial 18S ribosomal RNA". It matches the Rfam family "Eukaryotic small subunit ribosomal RNA", at positions 1299 to 1458 of the family's 1831-position model. The record is from RNAcentral.